Non-coding RNA from Lupinus albus (white lupine), 411 nucleotides. The record is from the annotation of a GenBank genome assembly. Lineage: Eukaryota; Viridiplantae; Streptophyta; Magnoliopsida; Fabales; Fabaceae.
CGCACGGAUAGAGAUGGAGGUCGGGAUUCCCUUUCUCAAGGCAGCACCGCGGCAAUUCAAUGAGCGAGACUUGCACUCAAUAGUAUUACAAUGAAAGCAGUAGUGGCACUCCCCAUACUUAGAUGGUCCGGGCCUUUGAGCUCCAUGCAAAUUCGCCUUUCAAAGUUGCAAAACACAAUCCCUAGCGUAACAAUCCACUUGAUGCAUUUUUUUGGACUAAUGAGUAUAGGACGUAAUUAGAGGUGGUGGGCGCCUAUAUACAUACCACUUCAAACGGUCUUUGUUUGGUUGCCGAAUGAUAAGUGGUACAAUACCACUAUUCUGCCCAUGGUAACCAACGUACCCAUUCCCUUGGUCUAUCGCUUGUAAAGCAUCCCAGGUAGUUCUCUAAGCACCGGUUAACCACCUCCC